RNAcentral lists this ribosomal RNA (253 nucleotides) under uncultured bacterium. RNAcentral's name for it is "partial 16S ribosomal RNA". It matches the Rfam family "Bacterial small subunit ribosomal RNA", at positions 524 to 776 of the family's 1533-position model. The record is from RNAcentral.
UACGAAGGGGGCUAGCGUUGUUCGGAAUUACUGGGCGUAAAGGGUGCGUAGGCGGUCCGCUAAGUUGGAUGUGAAAACUCUGGGCUUAACCCAGAGCCUGCAUUCAAAACUGACGGGCUAGAGUUCUGGAGGGGGUAGCGGAAUUCCUGGUGUAGCGGUGAAAUGCGUAGAUAUCAGGAGGAACACCGGUGGCGAAGGCGGCUACCUGGACAGAAACUGACGCUGAGGCACGAAAGCUAGGGGAGCAAACAGG